UGGUGUAUUCUAUGGUUUUGGCUGUUGGAUUUCACUCAAAAUACACCAAAUGACUCCUCUCACAACAUUAUGAUGUUUCCCAUGUUUUGUACUCAAUCCGAUAUCGAUUGGUCCAUGAAAUCGGACAAUUUCGGUUCGUACAAGGUUUGUUUUGAAAUGGAGAGGUUGAUGUAUUGCAUAGUUUUGGCAAUUGGAUUUCACUCAAAACUCACCAAACGACUCCUCCCACAACUUU
This 235-nucleotide long non-coding RNA is filed under the name Prunus persica (peach). RNAcentral describes it as "long non-coding RNA (PPER_LNC003416)". The record is from RNAcentral. Lineage: Eukaryota; Viridiplantae; Streptophyta; Magnoliopsida; Rosales; Rosaceae.